GAAGGCGAAGGAUCCCGGCAAAACGGAACGCCUUUCUCUCCUCCCCUUCUCCCCUCCGAAACCAGCACCGCCCGCCGCAGCCAGCACACAGAUUUCCUUCCACCUUUCCCCUCCCCUCCUCUGCUCGGGCUACCGACCGGCAGGCCAAGAAGCCCAUCGCCUACCCCUCAAGCCGGAUCCGCCAUGGCGCUGUACCGUCGCGCGGCCUCCGCGAUCCAGCGACGCGGGGCCCAGCCCUUGCUCCCGGCGCGGGCCAUGGCGUCGCUCCUCGGCUACGUCGAGCCGGCGCCCAAGGACCCCAUCCUCGGCGUCACUGAGGCCUUCCUCGCCGACCCUCCCUCGACAAAGUCAACGUCGGCGUCGGCGCCUACCGGGACGACGACGGCAAGCCCGUCGUGCUCGACUGCGUGCGCGAGGCGGAGCGUCGGAUCGCCGGCAACCUCAACAUGUGCGUGAGAUCCCCCUUCCCCGCUUUCCUUCGCUCCGCUCCCUCUUGCUACCUGUUGCUCGCACGAACGGUGUUCGAUGAAAUUUCCCACCAGCCAGGAACCUCUCUUGAACCUAGGCGGCCUUUCUCGUUUGUGACGCCGCCGUGUUCAUUCCGCCGUCGCGGUCUUCUCCUCCCCGUGCACAUACACGGACCGUGACGGGCUCCGCGUCGUACGCAUCUCCUCUAGACCACAUACUCGAAGCCGCGGGUCCCCUCCUACUUCUUCCUCGACCGCCUCUGAUGGCUGCUUGCUUUGCUCCAAUUUUUUCUAUAUCUUCAGAUCGGGUCGCCUAAUUCUUCAUCUCCGAGGCUCGAUCUCGGGUCCCAGACUCAAUCCCUCUUGCGGAAAUGUUUAUCCGAUCUGAAUCUGGUGAGCGUGUGGAUAAGAAGACGCUGACCGUGGGGAGGGAUGUUUCUGUAAAAACAAAAUGUUACCUCAACUAAAAGAGGACUGCGGGUUGAUUCCGAGAAAACAGGAGGGUUUUUAUGUAAAAGUGACGCGACGGACGACAGAAGCACUACGUGCUUUAUUAUUAGGGAGAGAUAGAUACCCAAAUUUAUCAUUGCUGAAGUGUUGUAUUUAAGUGUUGGGCGGUAAUGGUUUCGCCUUUGGCGUGCCACCUUAAAGAUUCGUAAUGCUGCAUAUUAGCGAUGGAGUUACGUUGAGCUCGGUUGUAAAGGUGAUCCAUCAUUUUUUUCUUUAAUGGCUACUCUCAUGGUGCUAGAGGCGGGUAACGAGUGUUGGUGUCAAACUCACAGGUUUUUUUGGUCUUGUUUGUAAUUUUACUUUUUGGCUGGUGUUCCUUUGUGUAAAGGCUAGCGUUCUACUACGUAUUCAGUUUUGCCAA
RNA transcript from Hordeum vulgare subsp. vulgare (domesticated barley), 1338 nucleotides. It is a transcript of the gene named aspartate aminotransferase, mitochondrial-like, with no coding region annotated. The transcript has 3 exons. Lineage: Eukaryota; Viridiplantae; Streptophyta; Magnoliopsida; Poales; Poaceae. The record is from RefSeq and is a predicted model, not a curated record.